Long non-coding RNA from Esox lucius (northern pike), 803 nucleotides. RefSeq lists it as uncharacterized. The transcript has 3 exons. The record is from RefSeq and is a predicted model, not a curated record. Lineage: Eukaryota; Metazoa; Chordata; Actinopteri; Esociformes; Esocidae.
GAUUACAGUGAAGAAAAUAGUAAUUAUGUUCACAUCCCUUCUCUGUCACUAAAGCAGUAAAGCAGUGACAGAGAAUGAUCUUCAUUGUGGCUGUAGGAGUUGCUGUAGGAAUGGCUGUGGGAGUUUCUGUUGGUAUUGCUGUGUGUGUAAUUGCUGCAGUCAUCAUAGUACGCAGGGAAACCAAGUCAACCUGAUGAAAGUAUCACCUAUGCCUUCAUCAACCACUCCAUCGACCAUUCCUAUCAGAGAAAUAACGUCAAUGGUGAAGAUGCCUACCUACCUACCUAUGUCUCAGCUAGGACCUCUUCUGACAGAGGAAGAGAGACAAAGAACCCUGCUAACACCAGCCCUCUCUAUUCUACUGUGUAUCAACCUUAUAGACCCAAGAAAUCAACAUAAAGACUACACUCACUCAAUCAUACAUACAUAAUAUCAAUAUCCAGAUAUAUAUUUUUUGUGCGAUAGCAACCAGCUCAAUUUCGUGAUGGUAACAUACAUUUUCAUUCAAUUAUUUUAAACAUGUUAAGUCAGAUUCCCUGGGCAUACCAAGUGUGACCGAUGGACAGAGACAGCUACAAAUUACAAUGUUUUUACAGUGUUUACAAAUUCAUUGAAAUGUAGUUCUAUCCAAUGAAAUAAAUAUUACAGAAUACUCAAAAGCAGUUGAAAUACAUAUUUCAGAUAUAUUAACCAGAAUUCCAGUGUUUCAGAUUUCUUUAUUGGAUAUAUUCACCAGCAAAUGAAAAAUUUCAGCGCAGCAAUGUGUCACAUUAUGUGUUCAUAUAAAACUUGAUCCGAUAUAG